This 575-nucleotide long non-coding RNA is filed under the name Crocodylus porosus (Australian saltwater crocodile). Its description in RNAcentral is "lncRNA (ENSCPRG00005013481.1)". Lineage: Eukaryota; Metazoa; Chordata; Crocodylia; Crocodylidae. The record is from RNAcentral.
UUUAUUCUGCUUAUAUUUAAAAAAAUAUAUACAUAUCUGCUUCUUUACUUGACAGUGCUAUAUUCAUAUCAGGACACACAGUUCAAGUUCAUUCCUUGAAGAUGAAAAAAACCCAUGUAGCUGAAAUCAUUUUGUUGAUCCUUGCCAGCUUCAGUUGUUACAUAAGCAGUUAACAUAGUAGGAAUAAUGAGGAGCUGCUGUUAGAGAUGGAUGAUGUUUUAGGAAUCAUCUCAGAAAAAUGUUCAGUACUUAUUCCUGGCACAACACGUUCGACUAACUUCACCCUUCAGAUGUGUAAAUUGCAAGCUGCUUGUUCUUCACUGGGUCCCUGGUCUGGAACUAGAGUCUCUUCGAGCAUGUUCGGAUCUGGUGUUUUGACGCAGACUAACCUGAAUGAUGAAAAUUAAGAAAGAGCAUGGAAUCAACAAAGCUACCAUAAGCCAGCAAAUACUCAAGGCACACUUUCAAAGUCAGCCAGAGGACAAAGGACAUGGAGGCCCAGUUCUGGUAAAUCUAUAAUAGAAGAUGGCCAUUCAAAUCUCUUAAGAAUUGUUGAGAUCCUCAGUUUAAUGAUC